AUUUAAGCAUAUCACUAAGCGGAGGAAAAGAAACUAACCAGGAUUCCCCUAGUAACGGCGAGUGAAGAGGGAAGAGCCCAGCACCGAAGCCUGUGGCAGUUUUGCUGCUAGGCAAUGUGGUGUUUGGGUCGGCUCGCGGAAUUGCCACUCCACUCGAAGUCCAGCAUUGAGUAUGGUCCACUGGAUUUGGCCCAGAGAGGGUGAAAGGCCCGUACGGGUGGAGGUUUCAGACAUGUGAGGCAGUUUCCUAGGCCGGCCUUAGAGUCGGGUUGUUUGAGAAUGCAGCCCAAAGUGGGUGGUAAACUCCAUCCAAGGCUAAAUACUAGCACGAGUCCGAUAGCAAACAAGUACCGUGAGGGAAAGUUGAAAAGUACUUUGAAGAGAGAGUAAACAGUACGUGAAACCGCAUGCAGGUAAACGGGUGGCGUCAAGCUGCAAGCCCAGAGGAUUCAGCCGGUUAGAGUGUAGUGUAUGCGCCUGUCGCAUCGAUUGGUCAGAAUAGGAUUGGACAGUCUACUGGUUAACAGUGGGUCCUUGCCGCAAGGUGGGGAUUUGUGUACCGGGCGGUAGCCGGAGCAUGCUGUUCGUCUGUUGGAUCAUCUAGCCGGUGCACUUUCUCUGUGGUGAACACCACGACCGAUGGUACUGUCAGUCUGCUGUGGUCGAGUCGUGUUUGGUUGGUGCUUCGGUGCCUACUGGAUGCGAUCACGGGCAAAGUUGGUAGACGGCGUGGGCUUCAUCUUUCAUAGGUGUGUCCAUGUGUUAUCGGCUGCUGCUUGUCUGAACGGGCUUGCCUGGCAAUUGUUGUAGCCGUUGUCGGGUAGUCUGGUGGACUAUGGUGGUAUGAAUAACUGUGCAGGGCAUCGGAGUUGUCGGCCUCAAAUGCGGUUGGCAUGCACGCUACAAGUGUGCGGCUGGUGGGUUGCGUAGCAGCUUGCCUGUUGUUGGGUGUGAUUGUCGUGUUGCCUGCGCAAAGUGGGCCCGGCAGUGGCUCGCAAUAGGUUGGUGUUGUUUGCGCGGUCUGCUUUUUGUGUCAACCGUGGUGGGCCUGAUAGUCGGUGGUGUAGUGGUAGACGAGCUACCCGACCCGUCUUGAAACACGGACCAAGGAGUUUAACAUGUGUGCAAGUCAUGGGGUAUUUACGAAACCCAAAGGCGCAGUGAAAGUGAUGCCUCAACUCGAGGUGUUGGUGAGAUCCUGUCGUUACUUGCACCGCUUUUUAGCUGUGUCAGCAGCAGGCAAAGAAGAGCGGCAGGCGCAUCACCGGCCCGUCCCAUGAUGUGGUCAUUGGAUUGUGUGUUGGUUGGCUGUUCUGCAGUUGGCCAAUGCUCGCCAGUGCGUCAUCGGGGCGGAGCAUGAGCAUACAUGUUGAGACCCGAAAGAUGGUGAACUAUGCUUGCGUAGGUUGAAGCCAGAGGAAACUCUGGUGGAGGACCGCAGCGAUUCUGACGUGCAAAUCGAUCGUCAAACGUGAGUAUAGGGGCGAAAGACUAAUCGAACCAUCUAGUAGCUGGUUCCCUCCGAAGUUUCCCUCAGGAUAGCUGGCGCUCAUUCGCAAGAUCAGUUUUAUCCGGUAAAGCGAAUGAUUAGAGGUACUGGGUUCGAAACGAGCUCAACCUAUUCUCAAACUUUAAAUGGGUGAGAUGCCCGACUCGCCUAAUAGGAGUUGGGCGUUGAAUGUGCGAGUGCCAAGUGGGCCAUUUUUGGUAAGCAGAACUGGCGCUGUGGGAUGAACCAAACGCUCGGUUAAGGUGCCUAAUGCGGACGCUCAUGAGAUACCACAAAAGGUGUUGGUUAAUAUAGACAGCAGGACGGUGGCCAUGGAAGUCGGCAUCCGCUAAGGAGUGUGUAACAA
RNAcentral lists this ribosomal RNA (1856 nucleotides) under Rhinebothriidea gen. n. sp. 1 HR-2018. RNAcentral's name for it is "LSU rRNA". It matches the Rfam family "Eukaryotic large subunit ribosomal RNA", at positions 32 to 1288 of the family's 3401-position model. Lineage: Eukaryota; Metazoa; Platyhelminthes; Cestoda; Rhinebothriidea. The record is from RNAcentral.